RNAcentral lists this unclassified non-coding RNA (1773 nucleotides) under Hevea brasiliensis (rubber tree). Lineage: Eukaryota; Viridiplantae; Streptophyta; Magnoliopsida; Malpighiales; Euphorbiaceae. The record is from RNAcentral.
UGUUCUUCACUGAUUAUAUUAAAAUGAGUUCUGAACAGUACAUCCUGAACAUCUUUGUACUAGUUCAAAGCCUUAAAAUACUCUCUUACUCCCAUCUAGUUAUACAUCAAAUAACAUAUUUUAUAUGCUAUCAAGAGUCCACAGACGAGCAUUACUAAAUCAAAAUAACAAGAGUAGACAUACUUGACAGACUAGCAUGAUGACAAAUUCUAUCGAAUAUUACAUCAAAUAAUUACAGAAUCACCUACACCAUUUGCAGACCCAUAUUUCAGCCAGGACACUGUAGUCAAACAAACUCGCCUAUUUACAAAGUCAACCAAAUUAAACCAGACAAGUGCUCCAUCAACUUGCUUAUUGAAACCUUUCUUGGCCUUGUUUGGCUAAAAACAAGUGUAAUCAACUUGCUAAUUGCUCAAACCUUCGUUCUUUAACCCACAUGGCAAGGAUAACAGUUCAGUAAGCUCCACCCGGUAUUCUAGACCCCUAAGAUAGUGCCCUAGUAGCAUGCACCAAAACAACAGACGAGCCAAAUAAUCUCGAGUCAAUGAUAUCUGAGGUUGGAAGUGAAUGGAUGUGUUCUCAACAAGAUCGAUGGAAUCUUCAGCUCCAACAUUUACAGUUCCUGCAGAGUUAUUUUCUGAUAGAUCAGGAGCCUUAGAAUGCAUUCUGGGGGAUAGAGUUGCGAGUAGUCCAUGGACUACUGAACGGAUGGUCUCCUUUACUUCCAGGGAUGUUGGUUCUGAUAGCUCAGCAACCUUCUCCGGAAGCAAUGAUCUUAAGUAGUCCAACAACUCAUUCUUCUCCUCACCUACAAAUUGUUGCAUCUGAAGAGCUGCACUUUUCCUCUUAACUUCACGAAGUUCCUUUUUGUAAGACGCUAAGCGAGUCUGUAGGUCUAAUAUGUAUUGCUGAGCUUCAGGGGUCAUUUUACCAAAGUCUGGAAUAUCACGUGAAAGUUCACUCUUUCCUUCUGAUGUUGGUUGUUUCUGUUCAGAUUUUUUGCUCGAUAUAUUUUCAUUCAGCAAUUUCUCAUCUCCAACUUUGGAAUCUUCAGGCUUUUGUCUACCAAUGUUUCCAUCAUAUAUUUCAAUGUUCUUUUCAAGACAAAGCCUGUACUCAGCAUUCCGUAGUGUAUACCCAGUCAUCAUUGAAGAGAUCAAAAGCUUGGAGAUUGGUUCCCACAAAGCUUCAAUUAGAACUUGAAACUGGUCUGAUGGAAGCAAGCCCAACAUGCCUGAUAUAGUUCUUUUCAUUGCAUCAAUGGUAGUGGGUGGUACAUCUUUUUGAAUAAGGCUCACAUCCAGUGGCUCUAUCUCUUGUAUCAAGUUUGAGAGGACUGAUUUCUUGGAUCGAGAAUUCUGGUUGCUGGCACUGAAAUCAUCGGCCGAAGAAGCAGAAAUUGAAGCAGUUCUUAAGGGCAAAGAUUUAUUACGAAUUUUGGUUGAACGAGAGGGAAGAGAAGAAAUAGAGGGAGAAAUAGUUAGGCGUUUGAAAUGGCGUAUUGGUUGAGGAGAAGUAGAGAGGGAGAAGGAGAAGGCUGCCAUUGACAACCACUACUGCUCCUCUCUCUGCCCUCUUUCCGAUCCAAAACCAGGAAAGCUGGUAUAUAUCCGACCCGACCCGAAAAGGACGACCUUAAUGGCCUAAUUGCACCGUAAACACAUUCAAAAGAUCUAAACGUGUGGAUAGAUAACGAAGAUUAUAAAAAAAUGGAUGAUCUGAUAAAUAUUACUACUUUAGAAUGAUACAGGCACUGGCAAUUCCUGACUUCGA